UACGUAGGGUGCAAGCGUUGUCCGGAAUUAUUGGGCGUAAAGGGCUCGUAGGCGGAUUGUCACGUCUGCUGUGAAAAUCCAAGGCUCAACCUUGGACUUGCAGUGGGUACGGGCAGGCUAGAGUGCGGUAGGGGAGAUGGGAAUUCCUGGUGUAGCGGUGGAAUGCGCAGAUAUCAGGAGGAACACCAAUGGCGAAGGCACAUCUCUGGGCCGUAACUGACGCUGAGGAGCGAAAGCGUGGGGAGCGAACAGGAUUAGAUACCCUGGUAGUCCACGCCGUAAACGGUGGGUGCUAGCUGUGGGCCACAUUCCACGUGGUCCGUGACGAAGUUAACACAUUAAGCACCCCGCCUGGGGAGUACGGCCGCAAGGCUAAAACUCAAAGGAAUUGACGGGGGCCCGCACAAGCGGCGGAGCAUGCGGAUUAAUUCGAUGCAACGCGAAGAACCUUACCAAGGCUUGACAUAUAGAGGAAAAGUGCAGAAAUGCACUCCCCGCAAGGUCUCUAUACAGGUGGUGCAUGGUUGUCGUCAGCUCGUGUCGUGAGAUGUUGGGUUAAGUCCCGCACCGAGCGCAACCCUCGUCCUAUGUUGGCAGCACGUAAUGGUGGGAACUCAUGGGAUACUGCCGGGGUCAACUCGGAGGAAGGUGGGGAUGACGUCAAAUCAUCAUGCCCCUUAUGUCUUGGGCUUCACGCAUGCUACAAUGGCCGGUACAUGAGGGCUGCAAUACCGCAAGGUGGAGCGGAUCCCAAAAAGCCGGUCUCAGUUCGGAUUGAGGUGUGCAACUCGACCUCAUGAAGUCGGAGUCGCUAGUAAUCGUAGAUCAGCAACGCUACGGUGAAUACGUUCCCGGGCCU
This 859-nucleotide ribosomal RNA is filed under the name uncultured bacterium. RNAcentral's name for it is "SSU rRNA". It matches the Rfam family "Bacterial small subunit ribosomal RNA", at positions 524 to 1381 of the family's 1533-position model. The record is from RNAcentral.